RNA transcript from Harpegnathos saltator (Jerdon's jumping ant), 651 nucleotides. RefSeq lists it as uncharacterized. The transcript is spliced from 2 exons. Lineage: Eukaryota; Metazoa; Arthropoda; Insecta; Hymenoptera; Formicidae. The record is from RefSeq and is a predicted model, not a curated record.
AAAUUUGUCUGCUAACUUCACGACGGUGAACUAAUAAAGUUAGGUUGGGAAAAAAUUUGUGAAAACAGUUUUCCACCACAGAAGAUCCUUUCGGAUAUUCUUUUUUAUCUAAAAAUCUUUUUGAUCCCUUGUAUAUGUGUGUAUAUAUAUAACAUGCAUGUCUAUGUACUUCAUUCUGGUUUCUCAUCGCAGGCAUUAAUACAUAACGCUGAUAAACAUGGAAUCCUGAUAGGGGAUAAAAAAGAAUUAGGCGGUGCAGCGACAAAACUAUUUAUUAGUUUAGCAUAUUUAUCUGAAGAUCUCAUAGUACAAGGCUUCCAUUUAAUAAAAAAUAUUAUUUUUCAAAAUAACAAGAACUUGCAAUCUUUUUUACUUAUUAUAAGGAAACAUGGAUCAAUGGCUAUACGCCAAGUUCUUUUUGUAUUUAAUGUGGUACAUCGGACAAACAAUCUUUUAGAAAGGCAUAAUAGAGUUAAAAAAAAAAAACGUUCAUCAGUUGUUGAAUUUAUGGCGUACCUUACUCAACACUAAAAAACUGAACACAGUUUUAAAAAACACCCAAAAUUCUAGGCAAGAAAAGAGAGAAAGAAUGUACAGAAGGAAAAUGCCUUAAAAAAAAUUUGGCAUCAAAUAGAACAAGAAAUGGAUGAC